UGCAUUAUAUUGUUCUGAUCACUGCUGCAACUAAUUAUUUUUCCAACAAUACUUUCUCUUUUCAAGAAGACGAAGGCAGUGGCUCAAGUGUUAGGAUAGAAGGGUGUGCUUGAGAUGGAACCAUCCUUCGAGAUCUAAGAUUUUUGAGGAGUAGGCUAGGGUUUUCUUUAAGGGCUGAGAGAAGAGAGAGUUUUGAGAAGGCAAUAAGGUAGGCUUUGCUUUUGAAGUUGAGAGAGGAAAGCUUUAGGUAAUAAAACAUGUAUUGUCGCAAAACUAGUUUGAUGAACAGUGUGUGAAAGCUCAUGUCACAAGAAUGAAUAGUAAUAAUAGGAUCCUCUCUUUUAAGAGAAGGUAGAUUUCUUUCUUUAUUAUUAAUAAAUGAUAGGACA
This 389-nucleotide long non-coding RNA is filed under the name Olea europaea (common olive). RNAcentral describes it as "long non-coding RNA (OEUR_LNC000806)". Lineage: Eukaryota; Viridiplantae; Streptophyta; Magnoliopsida; Lamiales; Oleaceae. The record is from RNAcentral.